CCCAGACUAACAGCUAAGGUCCCUAAAUCUCAUUUAAGUGGAAAACGAUGUGAAGUUACUGAAACAACCAGGAGGUUGGCUUAGAAGCAGCCAUCCUUUAAAGAUAGCGUAAUAGCUCACUGGUCUAGUGAUUUUGCGCGGAAAAUAUAACGGGGCUAAAAUGAGUACCGAAGCUUUAGACUUGCACUUAAUCAUUUAUACUAGCUCGUCUUUUGGCGAUAAAUUAAUGAGUUCGAUUUUUUCUCAAUCGAUAGGCUAAAAGCCUUAUCUCAAUCGAAAAAAUCUUCACAACAUUAAUUUCUCAUCCAAAAUACUUCGCUUUCUAUAUUCAAAUUUUAAAGAUUUCAAACUUUGUUGAUUUUAAAAUUUUUUAGAAUUUUAAAAUCCUAACUUAGAUAUUUAAAAUUUAACAACCAAGAAGCGAAGAAAGACAAACAAAACUUUAAGACAUCGGAUAAAUUCUUAAAUAUCUUAAGUUUUAAAUUUGAACAAAGCCGCAAGAAAAGUAUAAAUCAUUAAGUGCAAGUGGUAGGAGAGCGUUCCAAUCAGCGUCGAAGCCGUACCGGUAAGGAGCGGUGGAGCGGUUGGAAGUGAGCAUGCAGGCAUGAGUAGCGAUAAAAUACGUGAGAAUCGUAUUCGCCGUAAACCCAAGGUUUCCUACGCGAUGCUCGUCAUCGUAGGGUUAGUCGGGUCCUAAGCAAAGUCCGAAAGGGGUAUGCGAUGGAAAAUCGGUUAAUAUUCCGAUACCGAUAUCAGUGUGCGACGGAAGGACGCUUAAAGUUAGUGGAGCUAGCGGAUGGAAGUGCUAGUCUAAGGAAGUAGGUUGAGUUAUAGGCAAAUCCGUAACUCUUUAUCCGAGAUCUGAAAGGCUUCUGACGCUCUUCGGAGUAGAUGAAGAAUCCAUGAUACUAUCGAGCCGAGAAAAGUUUCUAAGUUUAGCUGAUAUCGCCCGUACCGUAAACCGACACAGGUGGGUGGGAUGAGUAUUCUAAGGCGCGUGGAAGAACUCUCUUCAAGGAACUCUGCAAAAUAGCACCGUAUCUUCGGUAUAAGGUGUGCCUAACUUUGUGAAGGAUUUACUCCGUAAGCAUUGAAGGUUACAACAAAGAGUCCCUCCCGACUGUUUACCAAAAACACAGCACUCUGCUAACUCGUAAGAGGAUGUAUAGGGUGUGACGCCUGCCCGGUGCUCGAAGGUUAAUUGAUGACGUUAGCUCUGCGAAGCGUUUGAUCGAAGCCCGAGUAAACGGCGGCCGUAACUAUAACGGUCCUAAGGUAGCGAAAUUCCUUGUCGAUUAAAUAUCGACCUGCAUGAAUGGCGUAACGAGAUGGGAGCUGUCUCGAAGAGGGAUCCAGUGAAAUUGUAGUGGAGGUGAAAAUUCCUCCUACCCGCGGCAAGACGGAAAGACCCCGUGGACCUUUACUACAGCUUGACACUGCUAUUGGGAUAAAAAUGUGCAGGAUAGGUGGGAGGCUUUGAUCCAUAGACGCCAGUUUAUGGUGAGCCGUUGUUGAGAUACCACUCUUUUUUAUUCUGAUAGCUAACUAGCUUGAGUUAUCCUCAAGUAGGACAAUGUCUGGUGGGUAGUUUGACUGGGGCGGUCGCCUCCCAAAAUGUAACGGAGGCUUACAAAGGUUGGCUCAAAGCGGUUGGAAAUCGCUUGCAGAGUAUAAAGGCAAAAGCCAGCUUAACUGCGAGACAUACACGUCGAGCAGAGACGAAAGUCGGUCUUAGUGAUCCGGUGGUUCUGUGUGGAAGGGCCAUCGCUCAAAGGAUAAAAGGUACCCCGGGGAUAACAGGCUGAUCUCCCCCAAGAGCUCACAUCGACGGGGAGGUUUGGCACCUCGAUGUCGGCUCAUCGCAUCCUGGGGCU
RNAcentral lists this ribosomal RNA (1874 nucleotides) under human oral metagenome. RNAcentral describes it as "bacterial LSU rRNA". It matches the Rfam family "Bacterial large subunit ribosomal RNA", at positions 1026 to 2554 of the family's 2925-position model. The record is from RNAcentral.